RNAcentral lists this ribosomal RNA (468 nucleotides) under uncultured bacterium. Its description in RNAcentral is "partial 16S ribosomal RNA". It matches the Rfam family "Bacterial small subunit ribosomal RNA", at positions 28 to 507 of the family's 1533-position model. The record is from RNAcentral.
GACGAACGCUGGCGGCGUGCUUAACACAUGCAAGUCGAACGGACAGGCCCUGCUUUUGUGGGGUGCUCGAGUGGCGAACGGGUGAGUAACACGUGAGUAUCCUGCCCUUGACUUUCGGAUAACUCCUGGAAACUGGGGCUCAUACCGCAUAGGAGCUCCUGCUGCAUGGUGGGGGUUGGAAAGUUUCGGCGGUUGGGGAUGGACUCGCGGCUUCUCCGCUUGUUGGUGGGGUAGUGGCUUACCAAGGCUUUGACGGGUAGCCGGCCUGAGAGGGUGACCGGCCACAUUGGGACUGAGAGACGGCCCAGACUCCUACGGGAGGCAGCAGUGGGGAAUAUUGCACAAUGGGCGGAAGCCUGAUGCAGCAACGCCGCGUGCGGGAUGACGGCCUUCGGGUUGUAAACCGCUUUCGCCUGUGACGAAGCGUGAGUGACGGUAAUGGGUAAAGAAGCACCGGCUAACUACGUG